This 27-nucleotide non-coding RNA is filed under the name Homo sapiens (human). Lineage: Eukaryota; Metazoa; Chordata; Mammalia; Primates; Hominidae. The record is from RNAcentral.
CAAGCUACAUGUCAUAGGAUUGGAUUG